RNAcentral lists this ribosomal RNA (462 nucleotides) under Coxiella glauerti. Its description in RNAcentral is "partial large subunit ribosomal RNA". It matches the Rfam family "Bacterial large subunit ribosomal RNA", at positions 1836 to 2563 of the family's 2925-position model. Lineage: Eukaryota; Metazoa; Mollusca; Gastropoda; Littorinimorpha; Pomatiopsidae. The record is from RNAcentral.
ACUAGCUGUAUAAAGAGUCGAACCUGCCCAGUGAUAGUAUUUAACGGCCGCGGUACUCUGACCGUGCAAAGGUAGCAUAAUCAUUUGCCCUAUAAUUGAGGGCUUGUAUGAAUGGUUUGACGAGAGCAAAGCUGUCUCUCUAGAAUUUUUCAGAAUUUGGUUUUUAGGUGAAGAAACCUAAAUUUAAUUGAAAGACAAGAAGACCCUAUCGAGCUUAAAACAAAUUUAUUAAAAAGUGUGGCUAUAAUUAAUCAAUUUUAGUAAAAAAUUUUGGUUGGGGCGACUAAGGAACAAAAAAAGCUUCUUUUAUUUUAAGAUACCGAUAAGUUUUGAUCCAGAAAGUCUGAUUAAAAGAAUUAGUUACCGUAGGGAUAACAGCAUAAUCUUUCUUGAGAGUUCUUAUCGAAAGAAAGGUUUGUGACCUCGAUGUUGGACUAGGAUAUCCUAAUAGAUGCAGAAGUC